CCUACGGGAGGCAGCAGUCGAGAAUCAUUCACAAUGGGGGAAACCCUGAUGGUGCGACGCCGCGUGGGGGAAUGAAGGUCUUCGGAUUGUAAACCCCUUUCAUGUGGGAGCAAAUUAAAAAGAUAGUACCACAAGAGGAAGAGACGGCUAACUCUGUGCCAGCAGCCGCGGUAAUACGGAGGUCUCAAGCGUUGUUCGGAAGCACUGGGCGUAAGGCGUGCGUAGGCGGUUUCGUAAGUCGUGUGUGAAAGGCGCGGGCUCAACCCGCGGACGGCACAUGAUACUGGGAGAAUAGAGUGAUGGAGGGGGAAGCGGAAUUCGCGGUGUAGCAGUGAAAUGCGUAGAUAUCGAGAGGAACACUCGUGGCGAAGGCGGGUUCCUGGACAUUAACUGACGCUGAGGCACGAAGGCCAGGGGAGCGAAAGGGAUUAGAUACCCGGGUAGUC
RNAcentral lists this ribosomal RNA (446 nucleotides) under uncultured bacterium. RNAcentral describes it as "partial 16S ribosomal RNA". It matches the Rfam family "Bacterial small subunit ribosomal RNA", at positions 338 to 795 of the family's 1533-position model. The record is from RNAcentral.